AUUCCAUGAUUUGGACAUUUUCCAAGUAUAUCUUUAAACCUCUCCCAAGCCUCAUGAAAUCUCUCCAAUUUGGAUUGCUAAAUGGUAGUUAUGUCAUGUUUGAGUUU
Molecule: small nucleolar RNA, 107 nt
Filed under: Olea europaea subsp. europaea
Lineage: Eukaryota; Viridiplantae; Streptophyta; Magnoliopsida; Lamiales; Oleaceae
Description: Plant small nucleolar RNA R71
Rfam family: Plant small nucleolar RNA R71
About the family: R71 is a member of the C/D box family of snoRNAs containing the C (UGAUGA) and D (CUGA) box motifs. Multiple nearly identical copies of this snoRNA have been identified in Arabidopsis, and it is thought to function as a 2'-O-ribose methylation guide for 18S ribosomal RNA.
Source: Rfam by way of RNAcentral